UUCCGGCAAUGCAAUGUGGUUAUACUCUCAUGUCGAUCUGAAUGAAUCAUCCUUUCCACAGAAGUCAAUCUUUGCCUGCUAGGCAAGAGUAUAGCAAGUUACAAAUUUUGUCUUGGUAGGACAUGUCUUUUUAUUACUAUUAAAUUGAAGUAGUUAAUGGUGGGGUUACCAUNAUCCUUUUUGUGGUAAUGAAUAUAUGUAUGUUCCUAAAAAAAGCAAUUUGUCAAUCCAAUGGUUUAAAUCAAGAAUCACAAGGACGGAAAAACCAGAAAAGCUAAGGCAAAGGCGUGCCUUUUUGCUGCAGUUUCAC
RNAcentral lists this long non-coding RNA (310 nucleotides) under Vigna radiata. RNAcentral describes it as "long non-coding RNA (VRAD_LNC009533)". Lineage: Eukaryota; Viridiplantae; Streptophyta; Magnoliopsida; Fabales; Fabaceae. The record is from RNAcentral.